UGGUGCAGGCUGUCGCUGGCUCAAACGAGCAUGUGCACGUCUUUUGCUGCUUGCUUCAUUCUCUUUUCCACCUGUGCACUCUUUGUAGACACUCGGGAUGGGAGAGAGGUUGGCAUUGAUGGUUGACCUCUCUUGAUAUUGAAAAGUCUGGGUGUUUAUGUAUUUUUUGACAUACACGGUUGAAUGUCUAUAGAAUGAAAUGUAGGCUUUUGUCAGCCUUUAAAUGAUAAAAUACAACUUUCAACAACGGAUCUCUUGGCUCUCGCAUCGAUGAAGAACGCAGCGAAAUGCGAUAAGUAAUGUGAAUUGCAGAAUUCAGUGAAUCAUCGAAUCUUUGAACGCAUCUUGCGCUCCUUGGUAUUCCGAGGAGCAUGCCUGUUUGAGUGUCAUUAAAUAUCUCAAAAAGUUUGUGCUUUUUUGGCAUAAGAUUUUUUGGACAUUGGGAGUUGCCGGCUGCUGAUAAAAGUGGUGGGCUCUUCUGAAAAGCAUUAGUUGAGGAGCUUUGCACUCUAUUGGUGUGAUAGACUAUCUAUGCCAGGAGAUGCUUCAUGAUCCUCUGCCAUCUAACUGUCUUUAUUAGACAACAUGAUAAACUUGACCUCAAAUCAAGUAGGACUACCCGCUGAACUUAAGCAUAU
This 638-nucleotide small RNA is filed under the name Amanita sp. KP-38. RNAcentral describes it as "eukaryotic LSU rRNA". The stretch from base 236 to 389 matches the Rfam family "5.8S ribosomal RNA". Lineage: Eukaryota; Fungi; Basidiomycota; Agaricomycetes; Agaricales; Amanitaceae. The record is from RNAcentral.